Molecule: ribosomal RNA, 420 nt
Filed under: Triticum aestivum (bread wheat)
Lineage: Eukaryota; Viridiplantae; Streptophyta; Magnoliopsida; Poales; Poaceae
Description: partial small subunit ribosomal RNA
Source: RNAcentral
AUGAGAGCUGCUUGCAAACUUGCUUCCCCUGUACUGAACUUUGCAGGAACAUUGGUUAAGCCAUCAAUUACUACAAAUGAAAUCGACAGGGCAGUGCAUCAUAUGAUAGUUGAGGCGGGUGCUUAUCCUUCUCCACUUGGCUAUGGCGGAUUUCCUAAAAGUAUCUGCACAUCAGUAAAUGAGUGUGCCUGCCACGGACUACCUGAUUCAACACAGCUGCAGAAUGGAGACAUCAUAAAUAUUGAUGUAAAUGUGUUCCUAAAUUAUUUCUUAUGGAGAAAGAAAGCAGAGUAUGCCAUUUCAGCGCACUACGAUCACACCUGUGUCUGGGAGGAAGUUCUUCAGAACAAGUGCUUAAACAAGUACAAUCACACUGCUAUCGACAGGAAAUUUUACUUUUAUCAGUCUGAGGGCCUAUGA